GAAACGUUCUGUAUUAUUUGGGGCAAGCAUUGGAAAGGGUGGGAGGGUAUUCUCUAGGAGUCAGGUGACCAGCCUGCCUGCAGCCCACUCCGCUGGAGGCUUUGGUCCAAUGAGGCAACCACCAAGGGAUAUUAGUCCUGAAAGAGGCACAUGGCCAUUUUUCUUCCUGUAUGUGUGUGUAAAAUAAACCCUUCCUCCUUGUUUUCUAGACCUUGUUCCCAUCAGGAUACCUAAUCCCUCUCACCCAGUGCUCAUCCCUGGGGGCGGAGUCCAUUUUGUCUGGUAAAGAAAACUCAGGUGCUCUUUCACCAAACCACAGGAUUUACAGCUCCCCAAUUGCAGGUGUUAUUCCAGUGACAUCAUCUGAACUCACUGCUGUUAAUUUUCCCUCUUUUCAUGUAACACCGUUGAAGCUAAUGGUCUCACCAACUUCCGUGG
This 438-nucleotide small RNA is filed under the name Pan troglodytes (chimpanzee). RNAcentral describes it as "processed transcript". Lineage: Eukaryota; Metazoa; Chordata; Mammalia; Primates; Hominidae. The record is from RNAcentral.